RNAcentral lists this ribosomal RNA (274 nucleotides) under uncultured bacterium. RNAcentral's name for it is "partial 16S ribosomal RNA". It matches the Rfam family "Bacterial small subunit ribosomal RNA", at positions 523 to 796 of the family's 1533-position model. The record is from RNAcentral.
AUACGGAGGGUGCAAGCGUUACUCGGAAUCACUGGGCGUAAAGCGCGCGCAGGCGGCUAUUUAAGUUGGAUGUGAAAGCCUACGGCUCAACCGUAGAACUGCAUCCAAAACUAUUUAGUUAGAGUGUGGGAGAGGAAGAUGGAAUUAGUUGUGUAGGGGUAAAAUCCGUAGAGAUAACUAGGAAUACCAAAAGCGAAGGCAAUCUUCUGGAACACUACUGACGCUGAGGCGCGAAAGCGUGGGGAGCAAACAGGAUUAGAAACCCUAGUAGUCC